Molecule: ribosomal RNA, 424 nt
Filed under: uncultured bacterium
Lineage: Bacteria
Description: partial 16S ribosomal RNA
Rfam family: Bacterial small subunit ribosomal RNA
Source: RNAcentral
AAUCUUCGACAAUGGGCGAAAGCCUGAUGGAGCAACGCCGCGUGAGCGAAGAAGGUCUUCGGAUCGUACAGCUCUGUUGUAAGGGAAGAACAAGCGCAGCAGUAACUGGCUGCGCCCUGACGGUCUCUUACUAAGAAGCCACGGCUACCUACCUGCCAGCAGCCGCGGUAAUACGGAGGUGGCAAGCGUUGUCCGGAAUUAUUGGGCGUAAAGCGCGCGCAGGCGGUCUCUUAAGUCAGAUGUGAAAGCCCCCGGCUCAACCGGGGAGGGUCAUUGGAAACUGGGAGACUUGAAUGCAGGAGAGGGAAGUGGAAUUCCAUGUGUAGCGGUGAAAUGCGUAGAGAUAUGGAGGAACACCAGUGGCGAAGGCGGCUUCCUGGCCUGUAACUGACGCUGAGGCGCGAAAGCGUGGGGAGCAAACAGG